AGAGUUUGAUCAUGGCUCAGGAUAAACGCUGGCGGCGUGCCUUAUGCAUGCAAGUCGAACGAGGCCAAGGCUUCGGCCUGAAGUCUAGUGGCGGACGGGUGAGUAACACGUACGUGACCUGUCCGGAAGUGGGGAAUAACCAGCCGAAAGGUUGGCUAAUACCGCAUGUGGUUACUGCUUGGAAGCAGCAAACCAAAGUCGCAAGACGCUUCCGGAGGGGCGUGCGGCCGAUUAGCUAGUUGGUGUGGUAACGGCGCACCAAGGCAUUGAUCGGUAGCUGGUCUGAGAGGACGGUCAGCCACACUGGGACUGAGACACGGCCCAGACUCCUACGGGAGGCAGCAGCAGGGAAUUUUGCGCAAUGGGCGAAAGCCUGACGCAGCAACGCCGCGUGAGGGAUGAAGGCUCUUGGGUCGUAAACCUCUUUUGCCGGGGAAGAUAAUGACGGUACCCGGCGAAUAAGCCACGGCUAACUACGUGCCAGCAGCCGCGGUAAUACGUAGGUGGCAAGCGUUGUCCGGAUUUAUUGGGCGUACAGGGCGCGCAGGCGGUUCGUUAGGUUCGAGGUGAAAUCUCCUGGCUCAACUGGGAGAGGUCUUCGGAUACCGGCGGACUUGAGGAGAGCAGAGGUGAGUGGAAUUCUGGGUGUAGUGGUGAAAUGCGUAGAUAUCCAGAGGAACACCAGUGGCGAAGGCGACUCACUGGGCUCCACCUGACGCUGAGGCGCGAAAGCGUGGGGAGCGAACCGGAUUAGAUACCCGGGUAGUCCACGCCGUAAACGAUGGGCACUAGGUGUGAGGGGUAUUGACCCCCUUCGUGCCGUAGCUAACGCAUUAAGUGCCCCGCCUAGGGAGUACGGCCGCAAGGCUAAAACUCAAAUGAAUUGACGG
RNAcentral lists this ribosomal RNA (890 nucleotides) under uncultured bacterium. RNAcentral's name for it is "bacterial SSU rRNA". It matches the Rfam family "Bacterial small subunit ribosomal RNA", at positions 8 to 916 of the family's 1533-position model. The record is from RNAcentral.